UACAGAGGGGGCAAGCGUUGUUCGGAAUUACUGGGCGUAAAGGGCGCGUAGGCGGCCAACUAAGUCGGACGUGAAAUCCCCGGGCUCAACCCGGGAACUGCAUUUGUGACUGCAUGGCUGGAGUGCGGCAGAGGGGGAUGGAAUUCCGCGUGUAGCAGUGAAAUGCGUAGAUAUCGGGAGGAACACCGGUGGCGAAGGCGGCCUUCUGGACGGAUACUGACGCUGAGACGCGAAAGCGUGGGGAGCAAACAGG
Molecule: ribosomal RNA, 253 nt
Filed under: uncultured bacterium
Lineage: Bacteria
Description: partial 16S ribosomal RNA
Rfam family: Bacterial small subunit ribosomal RNA
Source: RNAcentral